UGGGGUAAAAGUCCUGUGGUCAAGUCAAAAGGAACAAGUCUUUUCCAUUAAACAGAGGAACUUGAUGGCAUGUUCAGGCAAGAAGAGGCCAAAUGAAGAGAAUCAGAUGGCAAAAUGGCAUCCAAAAGGGAAUUUUUGAUGAUGUAAGGAACUUGAGGGCUUAUAGCAGAAAAGAAGAGGUUGCAUCAUACACAAAAGAACACUUUGCAUCAUACUCCAUGAUCAGCUUUUAUAAGCAGAUGCUGUCCUGAUCAGAACCUGGAUACUGGAGCCUGUCUCCACCCUCGUCGGUGUGAUGUCCUCGCCCUCGACGAUGUGAUGUCCUCGGCCUCGACGGUGUGAUGUCCUCGCCCUCGACGUUGUGAUGUCCUCGCCCUCGACGGUGUGAUAUCCUCGCCCUCGACGGUGUU
Molecule: long non-coding RNA, 410 nt
Organism: Hyalella azteca
Lineage: Eukaryota; Metazoa; Arthropoda; Malacostraca; Amphipoda; Hyalellidae
Exons: 4
Source: RefSeq, a predicted model, not a curated record